UACGGAGGAUGCAAGCGUUAUCCGGAAUUAUUGGGCGUAAAGCGUCCGCAGGUGGCAAUGUAAGUCUGCUGUUAAAGAGUCUAGCUCAACUAGAUAAAAGCAGUGGAAACUACAUAGCUAGAGUACGUUCGGGGCAGAGGGAAUUCCUGGUGUAGCGGUGAAAUGCGUAGAGAUCAGGAAGAACACCAGUGGCGAAGGCGCUCUGCUAGGCCGUAACUGACACUGAGGGACGAAAGCUAGGGGAGCGAAUGGG
Molecule: ribosomal RNA, 253 nt
Filed under: uncultured bacterium
Lineage: Bacteria
Description: partial 16S ribosomal RNA
Rfam family: Bacterial small subunit ribosomal RNA
Source: RNAcentral